RNAcentral lists this unclassified non-coding RNA (330 nucleotides) under soil metagenome. RNAcentral describes it as "partial contains 5.8S ribosomal RNA, internal transcribed spacer 2, and large subunit ribosomal RNA". The stretch from base 1 to 120 matches the Rfam family "5.8S ribosomal RNA", at positions 35 to 154 of the family's 154-position model. The record is from RNAcentral.
GAUGAAGAACGUAGCGAAAUGCGAUAAGUAAUGUGAAUUGCAGAAUUCAGUGAAUCAUCGAAUCUUUGAACGCGCAUUGCGCCCUCUGGUAUUCCGGGGGGCAUGCCUGUUCGAGCGUCAUUACAACCCUCAAGCUUUGCUUGGUAUUGGACAUUGCCAGUUUCUGGCAGGUCUUAAAAUCAGUGGCGGUGCCAUUUGGCUUCAAGCGUAGUAAUUCUUCUCGCUUUGGAGAUCCAAGUGGUUACUUGCCAAUAACCCCCAAUUUUUUCAGGUUGACCUCGGAUCAGGUAGGGAUACCCGCUGAACUUAAGCAUAUCAAUAAGCGGAGGA